UACGGGGGGAGCAAGCGUUGUUCGGAUUUACUGGGCGUAAAGGGCGCGUAGGCGGUCGUGACAAGUCACUUGUGAAAUCUCCGGGCUUAACUCGGAACGUCAAGUGAUACUGUCGGACUAGAGUACAGAAGGGGCAACUGGAAUUCUCGGUGUAGCGGUGAAAUGCGUAGAUAUCGAGAGGAACACCUGCGGCGAAGGCGGGUUGCUGGGCUGAUACUGACGCUGAGGCGCGAAAGCCAGGGGAGCGAACGGG
RNAcentral lists this ribosomal RNA (253 nucleotides) under uncultured bacterium. Its description in RNAcentral is "partial 16S ribosomal RNA". It matches the Rfam family "Bacterial small subunit ribosomal RNA", at positions 524 to 776 of the family's 1533-position model. The record is from RNAcentral.